UUAGAAGCAAUAAGAAGCUUGGUUAGUGUUUUGGAGUCAAAAUGACUAGAUGUCAUGUGUAUGAUUGAGCAUAAGAACUUGAACGGCAACCGAUUCCCAAUAGCUAAAGUUAUGUUUCCUUGUUAGAAGAUACAAAGCCAAAGACUCAUACGGUCUUCGGAUACACCAUCGAAAUUUUGAGAAGCAAUAAGAAGCUUGGUUAGUAUUUUGAAGUCAAAUAUUACAUG
Molecule: small RNA, 227 nt
Filed under: Arabidopsis thaliana (thale cress)
Lineage: Eukaryota; Viridiplantae; Streptophyta; Magnoliopsida; Brassicales; Brassicaceae
Description: ATSL198060
Source: RNAcentral